CUGACCUCGGUUCAGACGUGAUUACCCGCUGAACUUAAGCAUAUCACUAAGCGGAGGAAAAGAACAAA
Molecule: ribosomal RNA, 68 nt
Filed under: Fasciolopsis buskii
Lineage: Eukaryota; Metazoa; Platyhelminthes; Trematoda; Plagiorchiida; Fasciolidae
Description: Fasciolopsis buski partial 28S ribosomal RNA
Rfam family: Eukaryotic large subunit ribosomal RNA
Source: RNAcentral